GGGUUGUGAGGUUAAGCGACUAAGCGUACACGGUGGAUGCCCUGGCAGUCAGAGGCGAUGAAGGACGUGCUAAUCUGCGAAAAGCGUCGGUAAGGUGAUAUGAACCGUUAUAACCGGCGAUGUCCGAAUGGGGAAACCCAGUGUGAUUCGUCACACUAUCGUUAACUGAAUACAUAGGUUAACGAGGCGAACCGGGGGAACUGAAACAUCUAAGUACCCCGAGGAAAAGAAAUCAACCGAGAUUCCCCCAGUAGCGGCGAGCGAACGGGGAGCAGCCCAGAGUCUGAAUCAGCUUGUGUGUUAGUGGAACGGUCUGGAAAGUCCGACGGUACAGGGUGAUAGUCCCGUACACCAAAAUGCACAGGCUGUGAACUCGAAGAGUAGGGCGGGACACGUGGUAUCCUGUCUGAAUAUGGGGGGACCAUCCUCCAAGGCUAAAUACUCCUGACUGACCGAUAGUGAACCAGUACCGUGAGGGAAAGGCGAAAAGAACCCCGGCGAGGGGAGUGAAAAAGAACCUGAAACCGUGUACGUACAAGCAGUGGGAGCACCUUCGGGUGUGACUGCGUACCUUUUGUAUAAUGGGUCAGCGACUUAUAUUCUGUAGCAAGGUUAACCGUAUAGGGGAGCCGCAGGGAAACCGAGUCUUAACUGGGCGUUAAGUUGCAGGGUAUAGACCCGAAACCCGGUGAUCUAGCCAUGGGCAGGUUGAAGGUUGGGUAACACUAACUGGAGGACCGAACCGACUAAUGUUGAAAAAUUAGCGGAUGACUUGUGGCUGGGGGUGAAAGGCCAAUCAAACCGGGAGAUAGCUGGUUCUCCCCGAAAGCUAUUUAGGUAGCGCCUCGUGAACUCAUCUUCGGGGGUAGAGCACUGUUUCGGCUAGGGGGUCAUCCCGACUUACCAACCCGAUGCAAACUACGAAUACCGAAGAAUGUUAUCACGGGAGACACACGGCGGGUGCUAACGUCCGUCGUGAAGAGGGAAACAACCCAGACCGCCAGCUAAGGUCCCAAAGUCAUGGUUAAGUGGGAAACGAUGUGGGAAGGCACAGACAGCCAGGAUGUUGGCUUAGAAGCAGCCAUCAUUUAAAGAAAGCGUAAUAGCUCACUGGUCGAGUCGGCCUGCGCGGAAGAUGUAACGGGGCUAAACCAUGCACCGAAGCUGCGGCAGCGACACUAUGUGUUGUUGGGUAGGGGAGCGUUCUGUAAGCCUGCGAAGGUGACCUGUGAGGGUUGCUGGAGGUAUCAGAAGUGCGAAUGCUGACAUAAGUAACGAUAAAGCGGGUGAAAAGCCCGCUCGCCGGAAGACCAAGGGUUCCUGUCCAACGUUAAUCGGGGCAGGGUGAGUCGACCCCUAAGGCGAGGCCGAAAGGCGUAGUCGAUGGGAAACAGGUUAAUAUUCCUGUACUUGGUGUUACUGCGAAGGGGGGACGGAGAAGGCUAUGUUAGCCGGGCGACGGUUGUCCCGGUUUAAGCAUGUAGGCUGGUUGUCCAGGCAAAUCCGGAUAAUCAAGGCUGAGGUGUGAUGACGAGGUACUACGGUGCUGAAGUAACAAAUGCCCUGCUUCCAGGAAAAGCCUCUAAGCAUCAGGUAACAUCAAAUCGUACCCCAAACCGACACAGGUGGUCAGGUAGAGAAUACCAAGGCGCUUGAGAGAACUCGGGUGAAGGAACUAGGCAAAAUGGUGCCGUAACUUCGGGAGAAGGCACGCUGGUGUGUAGGUGAAGUCCCUGCGGAUGGAGCUGAGACCAGUCGAAGAUACCAGCUGGCUGCAACUGUUUAUUAAAAACACAGCACUGUGCAAACACGAAAGUGGACGUAUACGGUGUGACGCCUGCCCGGUGCCGGAAGGUUAAUUGAUGGGGUUAUCCGUAAGGAGAAGCUCUUGAUCGAAGCCCCGGUAAACGGCGGCCGUAACUAUAACGGUCCUAAGGUAGCGAAAUUCCUUGUCGGGUAAGUUCCGACCUGCACGAAUGGCGUAAUGAUGGCCAGGCUGUCUCCACCCGAGACUCAGUGAAAUUGAACUCGCUGUGAAGAUGCAGUGUACCCGCGGCAAGACGGAAAGACCCCGUGAACCUUUACUAUAGCUUGACACUGAACAUUGAGCCUUGAUGUGUAGGAUAGGUGGGAGGCUUUGAAGCGUGGACGCCAGUCUGCGUGGAGCCAACCUUGAAAUACCACCCUUUAAUGUUUGAUGUUCUAACGUUGGCCCCUGACCGGGGUUGCGGACAGUGUCUGGUGGGUAGUUUGACUGGGGCGGUCUCCUCCCAAAGCGUAACGGAGGAGCACGAAGGUUAGCUAAUCCUGGUCGGACAUCAGGAGGUUAGUGCAAUGGCAUAAGCUAGCUUGACUGCGAGCGUGACGGCGCGAGCAGGUGCGAAAGCAGGUCAUAGUGAUCCGGUGGUUCUGAAUGGAAGGGCCAUCGCUCAACGGAUAAAAGGUACUCCGGGGAUAACAGGCUGAUACCGCCCAAGAGUUCAUAUCGACGGCGGUGUUUGGCACCUCGAUGUCGGCUCAUCACAUCCUGGGGCUGAAGUAGGUCCCAAGGGUAUGGCUGUUCGCCAUUUAAAGUGGUACGCGAGCUGGGUUUAGAACGUCGUGAGACAGUUCGGUCCCUAUCUGCCGUGGGCGCUGGAGAAUUGAGGGGGGCUGCUCCUAGUACGAGAGGACCGGAGUGGACGCAUCACUGGUGUUCGGGUUGUCAUGCCAAUGGCACUGCCCGGUAGCUAAAUGCGGAAGAGAUAAGUGCUGAAAGCAUCUAAGCACGAAACUUGCCCCGAGAUGAGUUCUCCCUGAGACUUUAAGUCUCCUGAAGGAACGUUGAAGACGACGACGUUGAUAGGCCGGGUGUGUAAGCGCAGCGAUGCGUUGAGCUAACCGGUACUAAUGAACCGUGAGGCUUAACCUUACAACGCCGAAG
RNAcentral lists this ribosomal RNA (2923 nucleotides) under Klebsiella pneumoniae subsp. pneumoniae. Its description in RNAcentral is "bacterial LSU rRNA". It matches the Rfam family "Bacterial large subunit ribosomal RNA". The record is from RNAcentral. Lineage: Bacteria; Pseudomonadati; Pseudomonadota; Gammaproteobacteria; Enterobacterales; Enterobacteriaceae.